AAGACUAUACUUCCAGGGAUCGUUUCUAUGGUUUGUUACUAGAGAAGCUUCUCUGAACGUGAAGAGCACCCACAAUCAUGAGGAGGAGAUGGCGUGUUCUCUCCUGAGCGCGAAGCUGGUUCUUGGUGUUGCUUUGGUAACUGCCAUUUGCCAUUGGCCAUUGAUGAUCAUUCGUCUUUCUCCUUGGAGGAAGUAAGAGGGAGAGAACACCAUCUGAGUGGU
This is a small nucleolar RNA of Phyllostomus hastatus (greater spear-nosed bat), 222 nucleotides long. RefSeq annotates it as small nucleolar RNA U3. NCBI's taxonomy places the organism in Eukaryota, Metazoa, Chordata, Mammalia, Chiroptera, Phyllostomidae. The record is from RefSeq and is a predicted model, not a curated record. The transcript has a single exon.